GGCAUUGGGAGCUUCUUUGACACCUGCAACAUCAUUAUAAAAUUAAAGUUGGGCCGUCUAUUAUUAUGUUUGACCACAGAGGAAAAGCCAAAACCAGUAAAAAGGUCUAACCUUUAUCUUAUUUUACUUAAAAACAAGCAUCAAAGGAACACCUAGAUUAACUAGCAUGAUGAAAAUAUUUUCUUUCAACAAUCAAAUAAGUC
This 203-nucleotide unclassified non-coding RNA is filed under the name Hevea brasiliensis (rubber tree). Lineage: Eukaryota; Viridiplantae; Streptophyta; Magnoliopsida; Malpighiales; Euphorbiaceae. The record is from RNAcentral.